Molecule: non-coding RNA, 340 nt
Organism: Pelobates cultripes (western spadefoot toad)
Lineage: Eukaryota; Metazoa; Chordata; Amphibia; Anura; Pelobatidae
Source: the annotation of a GenBank genome assembly
UGUAUAUCUUUUUGGUGUUUUACACACUCUCUCUGCUUUUUGUAUUACAUACUCUAAUACUCUUAUCUGUCUCUCUCUGUAUUACACACUAUCGACAUUGUUUAUUAUUAUUUUAUUGCUGAUAGAGCGCCAGCAAAUUCCAUAGCGCUAUACAAUAUUUACUAAAGGUGCCACUAAAGUGAGAAUUGUCAAAUUCAAAGUGAAUUUCUAAUUUAAGACGAAUAUAGCCAAAUGUGAAGCACUUCUCACUUUAUUAAAAAACCCAGUUUGUGAUCAGUGGCCCUCUGGGAAGUGUUACAACUAUCAGCAGAAAAUAAUCACAAGUCAAUAAAUGUUAAAG